Molecule: ribosomal RNA, 399 nt
Filed under: Phenylobacterium sp. R-44236
Lineage: Bacteria; Pseudomonadati; Pseudomonadota; Alphaproteobacteria; Caulobacterales; Caulobacteraceae
Description: bacterial SSU rRNA
Rfam family: Bacterial small subunit ribosomal RNA
Source: RNAcentral
AGCGAACGCUGGCGGCAGGCCUAAUACAUGCAAGUCGAGCGGGUCCUUCGGGACUAGCGGCGGACGGGUGAGUAACGCGUGGGAACGUGCCCUUUGGUACGGAACAACUGAGGGAAACUUCAGCUAAUACCGUAUGUGCCCUUCGGGGGAAAGAUUUAUCGCCAUUGGAGCGGCCCGCGUUGGAUUAGGUAGUUGGUGAGGUAAAGGCUCACCAAGCCUACGAUCCAUAGCUGGUCUGAGAGGAUGACCAGCCACACUGGGACUGAGACACGGCCCAGACUCCUACGGGAGGCAGCAGUAGGGAAUCUUGCGCAAUGGGCGAAAGCCUGACGCAGCCAUGCCGCGUGAAUGAUGAAGGUCUUAGGAUUGUAAAAUUCUUUCACCGGGGACGAUAAUGAC